UAUUGGCAAAAAAAAAUUAUACGUAUGUAUCUAUCACUCGGCCGCUCUCUGUCUCCGCUCGCAGGAGCCAGGCAGCCAGCGGUGGCCUCGAGCCCUCGAACGCAGCCGGCUCCAGCGCCCUCUGCCCAUGACCCCACGUCCCCUCUGGUCCCACCCACCUAAAAAAAAGAAAACCAACGACCCAGCCGCGACCACGCAGUCCAUGCUCCGUCCCUGCCCACUCUGUCCCUGCCCGAGACCCAAACCUAGCUAGCGCGGCGGGCCGGCGGCGGCGGCUUACCUGGCGCGAGGACCAAGCGGGCGCGGGCGGCGGAACCGCGGAAGGCUGGGGGCGGCGGCUCCAGUGGCGCAGCAAGCGACGGCAGCAACAAGCGGCGGCUUCAGCAGCAGCUCCGGUGGCGACUCCAGCGGCGCGGCGGCUUCAACGGCGGCUCCAGCAGAUUGCUAGAAGAUGGAAGGAAAGGGAAAGGGACUAGUAAAUCCAAAGAAAAGAGGAAGAGAUUUGAAAAAGUAUUUUGAAGUGCUUGGUAGUGGCAGCAGCUCACAAACAAAUCCAAGCACCCGCGAAAGUGUCAAUAUUUCAACAAAUGUCAAUGAUCAAGAUCAAGUGACUUCCAUGGAAGAAGAGCAUGAAAAUUUGAUGCCAACCGAACAAGUGGAAGAACAAACUACAGAUUCCGUCGAAGCUAUAGUGGAAGAGAAUAUUGAAGUUCACGGGGUUGAAGGUAUAACUAUUUUUAGUGAAGAUCACAUAAAUGGUGAUCCAGGCCUUUGCAUUCCACUUGAUAGUUUUGCCCCCAACAUUAGAGAUGAUGUUAGAUUUGCUUAUAUUCGAAUGGGUGCAACUCAACCAACUAGUUGCACUUUCCUCCCAAAUAGAGAUGGAAGAUGCUUCCGGCCACAAUGGUAUAAGGAUUUUGAGUGUUGGAAUAUAGUGUGGAUAAGCAUAAGGCAUAUUGCUUCUAUUGUUAUCUUUUUAAGCAUGACUGAAUGGAUGAUAAAUUUGGGCAUGAUGUUUUCUCCAAAUUGGGAUUUGACUGUUGGAAAAAUGCGGCUGCAGCAUUCCGUAAACAUGUUGGUGGGCCAUGUAGCAUCCACAAUAUUUCAAAAACAGCAUGUGAUGAUUUUAAAAAUCAAAGGGCAAGUGUGAAAAGUAAAGUUACAACUUACAGCAAAGGUUCACUAGUCAAGUAUGAAACUUGUGUGGAUACAUCUUUGGCCAUUGUAAGUUAUCUAGCAUUGCAAGGUGAACCAUUUCGUGGAUACGAUGAAUCCACUUCUUCUUUGAACAAGGGGAAUUUUUUGGAGCUACUUGAUUGGGUGAAAGAAAGAAUUCCAGAAGUGAAGGUUGCAUUUGAUGAGCUAUGCCCUAAGAAUGCCCAAAUGACUUCCGGAAAAAUUCAAAAAAUCCUUGUUUCUCAUUGUGCAAAUGCGGUCACCAAAGCAAUCAAAGUAGAUAUGGGUGAUUGUCUUUUCUCCGUUCUUAUUGAUGAGUGCCGUGAUAUAUCGGUGAAAGAACAAAUGGCCGUGGUUAUUAGGUACUUGAGCAAACAAGGAGAGACUAUUGAACGUUUUUUAGGUAUUAAGCAUGUCCCGGACACAACAUCUGCUUCUUUAAAGAAGGCAUUGUUGGAGGUUUUUGCUAAACACGGUCUAGUUGUUGCACGACUACGAGGGCAAGGGUAUGAUGGGGCAUCUAAUAUGAGAGAAGAAUUCAAUGGCCUUUAGAAGUUAAUUCGAGAUGAGAACCCAUAUGCUUUUUAUAUCCAUUGCUUUGCCCACCAACUGCAGUUGGUAGUUGUUGCUGUUUCGAGAUGCUGCAAGGGUGUUGAGGAUUUUUUUGAAUAUGUGACCAUGAUAUCUAAUCUCAGUACGUCAUCUUGCAAGAGGAAGGAUAAAUUGCUUGACAAGCAAAAACAGGUUCUUUUGGAUAAGAUUAGGGGAGGUGAGAUGCCCACAGGAAGAGGCAAAAAUCAAGAAACAUCCUUGGUCAGACCUGGAGAUACAAGAUGGGGCUCUCAUUACACAACCUUAUCUCGCAUUGAAUCAAUGUGGGAUGCAGUCAUAGAAGUUUUGGGCAUUGUUGAGGAUGAUGUGCGUGUUCCAUGUAGAGCAGGAGGUUUGGUUCAUCAAAUGGAGACUUUUAGCUUUGUGUUCAUCCUGAAGAUGAUGCUAAAGAUCCUUCGUAUGACAAAUGAUUUGUCUCUUCUAUUGCAAAAGAAGGAUCAAAAUGUUGUUCAGGUAUGUGAUCGAUCAUGUUAUAUGUAUCUACUUUGCUUGAUAUAUUUUGUUCAUGAAAACAUACAUGCAUCUAAAAUUGUAAUUAUCUCAUUUCAGGCAAUGUCAUUGGUUACGGAUGUCAGAACACAUUUGAUCAAUUGGAGAAAUGAUGGUUGGGAGCCACUCUUGGAAGAUGUCAAAGCCUUUUGCACCAAAAACGACAUUCCAAUACCAAAUAUGGAUGACAUGUUUACAAAGUGAGGAAAAUCAAGAAAAGGUGGACGAAACAAUGUCACAGCUGAUCAUUUUUUUCGUGUGGACACCUUCUAUGCUGCCAUAGACUCCAUCACCACAGAGUUUGAUCAUCGUUUCAAUGAGGUAUCUUCAGAGCUGCUCCAGAACUUCUCUUGUCUUGACCCAAGAAACUCCUUUUCUAGGUUCAAUGUGAAUAAGCUUGCUAGACUUACAGAGAUUUGUUGUGAGGAUUUCUCAGAUUAUGAACGUGAACAUAUAGUUGAUAACCUCUAGCUAUUCAUUAUCCAUAUGAGAAGAAUUGAAGAAUUUAGAGCUUGUCAUGAUAUUGCAAGCCUAGCUAAAAAGAUGGUUGAACUUGAAAGGCAUGUCAUGUUUCCUGCUGUUUAUCGCCUCAUUGAGUUGGCAUUGCUACUACCGGUAGCGAAGGCAACAGUUGAAAGAGCCUUCUCAUCAAUGAAAAUCAUCAAGACUGAGUUGCGCAGCAAGAUGUCUGAUGGCUGGCUUAAUGACUUGACGGUGUGUUACAUUGAGCGAGCGAUCUUCAAAAGUAUUGAUCUUGAUAAAAUUAAGAAAGAUUUUCAGAAGGAAGGUAGGGCACUGCCAUUGCCUGGGUCUUCUACAUGCCAUUAAAAACUUCAUUAUCGGUAUGUUUUAGGUUGUUUUCCUAU
Triticum aestivum (bread wheat) is the source of this 3143-nucleotide long non-coding RNA. RefSeq lists it as uncharacterized. The record is from RefSeq and is a predicted model, not a curated record. The transcript is spliced from 4 exons. NCBI's taxonomy places the organism in Eukaryota, Viridiplantae, Streptophyta, Magnoliopsida, Poales, Poaceae.